This 72-nucleotide transfer RNA is filed under the name Camelus bactrianus (Bactrian camel). It matches the Rfam family "tRNA". Rfam says of the family: Transfer RNA (tRNA) molecules are approximately 80 nucleotides in length. Their secondary structure includes four short double-helical elements and three loops (D, anti-codon, and T loops). Further hydrogen bonds mediate the characteristic L-shaped molecular structure. tRNAs have two regions of fundamental functional importance: the anti-codon, which is responsible for specific mRNA codon recognition, and the 3' end, to which the tRNAs corresponding amino acid is attached (by aminoacyl-tRNA synthetases). tRNAs cope with the degeneracy of the genetic code in two manners: having more than one tRNA (with a specific anti-codon) for a particular amino acid; and 'wobble' base-pairing, i.e. permitting non-standard base-pairing at the 3rd anti-codon position. The record is from Rfam by way of RNAcentral. Lineage: Eukaryota; Metazoa; Chordata; Mammalia; Artiodactyla; Camelidae. RNAcentral also lists the same sequence under 2 other names.
GAGGGUAUAGCUCAGUGACAGAGCACAUGCUUAGCAUGCACAAGGUCUGGGGUUCAAUCCCUAGUAUCUCCU